Molecule: ribosomal RNA, 347 nt
Filed under: uncultured bacterium
Lineage: Bacteria
Description: partial 16S ribosomal RNA
Rfam family: Bacterial small subunit ribosomal RNA
Source: RNAcentral
CCUACGGGAGGCAGCAGUGAGGAAUAUUGGUCAAUGGGCGCGAGCCUGAACCAGCCAAGUAGCGUGAAGGAUGACGGCCCUACGGGUUGUAAACUUCUUUUAUAAAGGAAUAAAGUGAGGCACGUGUGCCUUCUUGGAUGUACGUUAUGAAUAAGGAUCGGCUAACUCCGUGCCAGCAGCCGCGGUAAUACGGAGGAUCCGAGCGUUAUCCGGCUUUAUUGGGUUUAAAGGGAGCGUAGAGGGGUUGGUAAGUCAGUUGUGAAAGUUGGCGGCUCAACCGUAAAAGUGCAAUUGAGACUGGCAGUCUUGAGUACAGUUGAGGUAGGCGGAAUUCGUUGUGUAGCGGU